AGCCUCGAUCCCAGGCCGAUCCGUCUCUAAUUGAACGCUAGGUCGCCUCCUCGGCCUGGUAUUGAUUGUAUCUGGGCGUGUAUCUGGGCAUGUGCUGUGGUUGCUGUGGUUGCUCAGGUAUUCGCUAAAAAAGAGCGAAUACCUGAGCAAGGUGGAGCGAAUAGAACACUAAUAGUGUAUGUAAGCAUACUUACUCCGUAAAAUCACCGUUAAAUCACAAAGAACUCCGUGUCAUAGGUCUAUUCUUUGCAAGUUUAGUUUGUCAUAGAUAUAGGCUUAGCUAGCUAGAGUGUGAGGAGCUGUCUUGUGCGAAGGAAGAAGGAGCAUCACUCUUGUGAAAGAACAGACCUAGGUUCUCAAGUUUCUGCUAUCAGUGGCUACCUUUGAUUGACUACACAAUUUAAUACAAGCGCUUGAUUAGACCAUUGAUUGCCAGAUACACUUGGUAGAGUCUAUCCUCAGACUCUGGCCAUCGAUCUCUUGCAUACUAUGCUCAGGGUGUCCACAAGUGGCUGGGCCUGGGAUGUAUUGUCAAGCCUAUAGCCCAAUCCUUGGUAUCUGGAUCAAGAUAUGACAUUACGGCACUGGCACUGGUGUUGUGUUAGCCUCCUUCACCGGCCUUCAAGGAAGUGCGGCCUGGGAUCGUGGCUAGUUUGUGUGGACCAUCACUGAGCAAAAUGGAACCUUCCCCUCCAACCCCCGUCGUACUCCUCCUAGCUGAUGGGUGUGAACUCAUUGAAAGAGGAUGCCCCAGUGCCACUCGUGUCCUUCCCAAGGGUCCGAUCUGAUAGAACUACCUGCACUAAAACUACUGACGUGGAAUGGCUCUUUCAACACUUGUGGUUGCUAUCCUGACCAGUGACGUCAGGAUUCUACUGUCUCUUGAUGCACUGUGAACACACAAUCUUUGUUAUGCCACCUGAAGGCUUAG
Molecule: long non-coding RNA, 931 nt
Organism: Halichondria panicea
Lineage: Eukaryota; Metazoa; Porifera; Demospongiae; Suberitida; Halichondriidae
Exons: 3
Source: RefSeq, a predicted model, not a curated record